Molecule: non-coding RNA, 283 nt
Filed under: Pediculus humanus corporis (human body louse)
Lineage: Eukaryota; Metazoa; Arthropoda; Insecta; Psocodea; Pediculidae
Source: RNAcentral
GCCGGGAGUGGUGGUGUAAUUCUGUGAUUCAACUACUCGGAGGCUAGGUAGAGAGGAUGUUUUAGGGGUGGAAAGUUCUGGAAUGGAAUUUCCCAAGUUGACUAGGCGUCCGCUAGGGGUUAAUCUUAAACUUGAAUGCCUUGGGAAAGCCCGAAGUAGCCAGGUAUAGUUUAAAUAGGGAAAAAAUCGAACCGAAAAGUCACUAAGUUGAGAAUCGUGAGUUCAAAUCCUGGAAGUGGAAGUUCAAUUUUAGCUCGUCUAGCAGGAACGGACCUGUACCUAA